CAUUGCCCGAAAAUGUUAUAUAAAUUCUAGGGUCGGCAGACUAAAGCACAUAAGUCAAAAUUUUCAAUUUAUUUUUUAUUACAUCAUCGGUUUACAUUUUGCUCAACACACAAUCUGACUAAAGCACAUAAAUCAAACUCAAGUAUUUCAUGGCGUAUUCAAGCGGCGUUCUGUAUCAACCUUAUCAAAUCCUAAUAUAGUCAAACGAACUAAAAAACAUAACUGGACUUAUGUUCUAAGGAACACCAUAAGUACAAAGUUAUUAACGUAAGAAGUCUGACUUAUGUUAUAAAGAACAUCAAAAUGUAACAUUUCUUUAGAGAAAGUAGUUACUUAAAAAUAUUUAUAACGUAAACAAUACUUCGAUGAAUAUUUAAAGAGGCAAGAAAUUAGUUGAAAUGGCGUCAUCCACUCAUCUGGAAAGCAAUGAAGAAUGAAAUGUAAAGAACGUAUACCAUUAACUGAUAGGCGUGCCAUAUUUACAGAAUAUUGGCAAAUGGGGUCAUAUGCAAAAAGAUCUGCAUACUUGGCGUCUUUAAUGGAAAUUCAAGAUAAAUCUAAACAAAGAAUACGAGCUAUUGAACCUGAAAAGCAAAAGCUUAGAAUGAAGACAUAAAAAUACUUUUUUACUGUGCAUGGUAAAGGUGAACCUGUCUGCCGAGGAUGUUUAAUGAAACCGUUAGAUGAAAGUGACAAUUUUAUAAAGACAGUUGCUAUCAAAAGGAGAUCAUCCAUUGGGGGUUCUCAAACUGAUGAUAUAAUAUCUAUACAGCCAUUACCCAUAUUCAUCGAGAAAAAAAAUGAUUUAAUUUCGCUGCUCCCUUUAAUACUAGAUAUUUUCCAUGAAUUUUACAUAAGUCUUCCCACGUUGGAAACUUUACGAAAUACUGAUCCAGAUAUUUAGAAGAAGAAUAAUAAUAGAAUAAGAAGAAGAAUUUUAAUUAAACAUUGAGUUGUUAUUUAUAUUUAUGACUUAUAUUAUUAUAAUAUAUAUCUUAA
Long non-coding RNA from Bombyx mori (domestic silkworm), 999 nucleotides. RefSeq lists it as uncharacterized. NCBI's taxonomy places the organism in Eukaryota, Metazoa, Arthropoda, Insecta, Lepidoptera, Bombycidae. The record is from RefSeq and is a predicted model, not a curated record. The transcript has 3 exons.